GCAGUUCCCGGAGAACAUGCGGAGCGUGGCCGGGGCGCUCUACUUCCUGGGGUUCGCGUUGGCGAGCUACUCAAGCGGGCUGAUGGUGAUGGUGGUGCACCGGGCGACGCGCGGGCGGGACGGUCGGCCCGACUGGCUGGCGCAGGACCUCGACGAGGGUAGGGUGGACCUAUUCUACCUGGUCACCGCCGCGAUCGCCGCCGUGAACCUCGUCUACUUUGUGUUCUGCGCACGGUGGUACAGGUUCAAGAAGUCCGACGACGAUGCCGCCCAUGAUGGCGCCGGAGACGUCGAGGUGGACGACGACAGCCCCAAGAAGACCGGCGCCGGCUUGGCUUAGUUACUCUCUCCCUCCUU
RNAcentral lists this long non-coding RNA (357 nucleotides) under Hordeum vulgare. RNAcentral's name for it is "long non-coding RNA (HVUL_LNC011294)". Lineage: Eukaryota; Viridiplantae; Streptophyta; Magnoliopsida; Poales; Poaceae. The record is from RNAcentral.